This is a long non-coding RNA of Brassica oleracea var. oleracea, 204 nucleotides long. RefSeq lists it as uncharacterized. NCBI's taxonomy places the organism in Eukaryota, Viridiplantae, Streptophyta, Magnoliopsida, Brassicales, Brassicaceae. The transcript is spliced from 3 exons. The record is from RefSeq and is a predicted model, not a curated record.
GUCAAUCGAUACAAAGCUUCAAACAUCCACUGUGAAGAUUGACAGUGUUUAUUUUGGCCACCAUCUCUCUCUAACAAUCAUGAUUUUGAACUGGCAGGAGAGGUUAAUCCGAGUUCACAUUGAUCGAGUAAAGGGCAUCUGAAGUACUUCUACAAUCCUAUGUAUACACAUUAAAAGUUGGUUAGUAUCAGUUUGAGUGGUACU